RNAcentral lists this ribosomal RNA (822 nucleotides) under uncultured bacterium. RNAcentral describes it as "bacterial SSU rRNA". It matches the Rfam family "Bacterial small subunit ribosomal RNA", at positions 44 to 886 of the family's 1533-position model. The record is from RNAcentral.
GUGCUUAACACAUGCAAGUCGAACGAUGAAGCCUAGCUUGCUAGGUGGAUUAGUGGCGCACGGGUGAGUAAUAUAUAGAUAACGUGCCUCUUAGUCUGGGAUAGCCAUUGGAAACGAUGAUUAAUACUGGAUACUCCUUCUCUUUAUAAUAAGAGUUGGGAAAGUUUUUCGCUAAGAGAUCGGUCUAUAUCCCAUCAGGUAGUUGGUAGUGUAAGAGACUACCAAGCCUAUGACGGGUAGCGGGUUUGAGAGGAUGAUCCGCCACACUGGUACUGAGACACGGACCAGACUCCUACGGGAGGCAGCAGUGAGGAAUAUUGCACAAUGGAGGAAACUCUGAUGCAGCAACGCCGCGUGGAGGAUGACGCAUUUCGGUGUGUAAACUCCUUUUAUAGGUCAAGAAAAUGACGGUAGCCUAUGAAUAAGCACCGGCUAACUCCGUGCCAGCAGCCGCGGUAAUACGGAGGGUGCAAGCGUUAUUCGGAAUCACUGGGCGUAAAGGACACGUAGGCGGGAAGCCAAGUCUGAUGUGAAAUCCUACAGCUUAACUGUAGAACUGCAUUGGAAACUGGUUACCUAGAGUAUGGGAGGGGGAGAUGGAAUUAGUGGUGUAGGGGUAAAAUCCGUAGAUAUCACUAGGAAUACCUAAAGCGAAGGCGAUCUCCUGGAACAUUACUGACGCUAAGGUGUGAAAGCGUGGGGAGCAAACGGGAUUAGAUACCCCGGUAGUCCACGCCCUAAACGAUGUUCACUAGUCGUCGGGAUGCUAGUCAUCUCGGUGAUGCACUUAACAGAUUAAGUGAACCGCCUGGGGAGUACGGU